This is a long non-coding RNA of Pteronotus mesoamericanus, 1069 nucleotides long. RefSeq lists it as uncharacterized. The transcript is spliced from 3 exons. NCBI's taxonomy places the organism in Eukaryota, Metazoa, Chordata, Mammalia, Chiroptera, Mormoopidae. The record is from RefSeq and is a predicted model, not a curated record.
ACGCGGCCGCCGAGGAGCCCGCGCGGCCGUUGGGCUUAGAGACCCGGCCAACGGGCGGCGGGGGCCGCGGCGCCGGGCCGGUCCUGCUGCCCGAGCCCGGAUCUCGGCGCGCCCCUGGUUAGUUUCCUUGGGAAGAGGUUGUUUUCCGGGUUUCCCGAGGGAGCGGAGGCGGGGGGAAGGCAGGGAUCAAUGACUGAAUGGCUACUCCCUGAACCCCUAAUAGAUGUUGGACUACGUUUGUUAAAAAUCGGCCCUACCCUCGAGGAUUUCACCCAUGAGGCUGACCACAGUGAUAACAGCUAGGGAGAAGAGAGCUUGGAAGACAGUUGCAAUGCCUAGCAAGUCAUAGGCAAGGACACCCAGCAGGGCUGUCUGUGAUUACUAUACGAAGAAGCAUGGGACUCAACCUGCAUCAGCUCGGGAUGCUGUUUGACAGCCGUUUAUGCUCCUUGCUUAUCCACAUCUUCUUUAUCCAGUCCUCUAUUGGUGGAUGCUUAGGCUGCUUCCAUAUUUUGGCUGUCAGAAAUAACGAACAUACAGGGAUGACUAUAUCUUUUUGAAUGAGUGUUUUGGAUUUCCUUGGAUGAAUACCCAAAAGUAGGAUUGUCAGGUCCUAUGGUAUUAAUAGUUCUAUUUUUAACUUUUUGAGGAAACUCCAUACUAUUUUCCUUAGAAGUUGCACCAAUUUGCAACCCCACCAACAGUGCACGAGGGUUGAUUUAUUGAUGAUGGUCAUUCUGACAGGUAUAUCUCAUUGUGGUUUUUUAAAAAAAGAUUCUAUUUAUUUAUUUUUAGACAAAGAUAGAAGGGAGAGAGAAAGAGAGGGAGAGAAACAUCUACAUGUUUUUGCCUCUGGAGUGCCCCCUACUGGGGACCUGGUCCACAACCCAGGCAUAUACCCUGACCGGGAAUUGAACCUGUGACCGUCUCUGGGUUGUAGACCGGCGCUCAAUCCACUGAGCCAUACCAGCCAGGGCUCACUGUGGUUUUAACUUGCAAUUCUUUCAUGAUUACAGAGGCCCCUAGGCUAUCUGUAUGUGCUCUUUGGGAAAAUAUCUAUUUCUAUUCA